GGGUUGUGAGGUUAAGCGACUAAGCGUACACGGUGGAUGCCCUGGCAGUCAGAGGCGAUGAAGGGCGUGCUAAUCUGCGAUAAGCGCCGGUAAGGUGAUAUGAACCGUUAUAACCGGCGAUACCCGAAUGGGGAAACCCAGUGUGACUCGUCACACUAUCAUUAACUGAAUCCAUAGGUUAAUGAGGCGAACCGGGGGAACUGAAACAUCUAAGUACCCCGAGGAAAAGAAAUCAACCGAGAUUCCCCCAGUAGCGGCGAGCGAACGGGGAGGAGCCCAGAGCCUGAAUCAGCAUGUGUGUUAGUGGAAGCGUCUGGAAAGGCGCGCGAUACAGGGUGACAGCCCCGUACACAAAAGCGCAUGUGUUGUGAGCUCGAUGAGUAGGGCGGGACACGUGGUAUCCUGUCUGAAUAUGGGGGGACCAUCCUCCAAGGCUAAAUACUCCUGACUGACCGAUAGUGAACCAGUACCGUGAGGGAAAGGCGAAAAGAACCCCGGCGAGGGGAGUGAAAAAGAACCUGAAACCGUGUACGUACAAGCAGUGGGAGCACAGGUUUACCUGUGUGACUGCGUACCUUUUGUAUAAUGGGUCAGCGACUUAUAUUCUGUAGCAAGGUUAACCGAAUAGGGGAGCCGGAGGGAAACCGAGUCUUAACCGGGCGUUAAGUUGCAGGGUAUAGACCCGAAACCCGGUGAUCUAGCCA
RNAcentral lists this ribosomal RNA (704 nucleotides) under Salmonella enterica subsp. enterica. Its description in RNAcentral is "partial 23S ribosomal RNA". It matches the Rfam family "Bacterial large subunit ribosomal RNA", at positions 1 to 736 of the family's 2925-position model. Lineage: Bacteria; Pseudomonadati; Pseudomonadota; Gammaproteobacteria; Enterobacterales; Enterobacteriaceae. The record is from RNAcentral.